This 445-nucleotide ribosomal RNA is filed under the name uncultured bacterium. RNAcentral's name for it is "partial 16S ribosomal RNA". It matches the Rfam family "Bacterial small subunit ribosomal RNA", at positions 354 to 796 of the family's 1533-position model. The record is from RNAcentral.
GUGAGGAAUAUUGGUCAAUGGGCGGGAGCCUGAACCAGCCAAGUCGCGUGAAGGAAGAAGGAUCUAUGGUUCGUAAACUUCUUUUGCAGGGGAAUAAAGUGCAGGACGUGUCCUGUUUUGUAUGUACCCUGAGAAUAAGGAUCGGCUAACUCCGUUCCAGCAGCCGCGGUAAUACGGAGGAUCCGAGCGUUAUCCGGAUUUAUUGGGUUUAAAGGGUGCGUAGGUGGUUUGAUAAGUCAGCGGUGAAAGUUUGCAGCUUAACUGUAAAAAUGCCGUUGAAACUGUCGGACUUGAGUGUAAAUGAGGUAGGCGGAAUGCGUGGUGUAGCGGUGAAAUGCAUAGAUAUCACGCAGAACUCCGAUUGCGAAGGCAGCUUACUAAGCUACAACUGACACUGAAGCACGAAAGCGUGGGGAUCAAACAGGAUUAGAAACCCCUGUAGUCC